GGGGCUGUAGCUCAGCUGGGAGAGCGCUUGACUGGCAGUCAAGAGGUCGACGGUUCGAUCCCGUUCAGCUCCA
RNAcentral lists this transfer RNA (73 nucleotides) under bacterium. Its description in RNAcentral is "tRNA-Ala". It matches the Rfam family "tRNA". From Rfam's summary of the family: Transfer RNA (tRNA) molecules are approximately 80 nucleotides in length. RNAcentral also lists the same sequence under 2 other names. The record is from RNAcentral.